Xenopus tropicalis (tropical clawed frog) is the source of this 164-nucleotide non-coding RNA. Lineage: Eukaryota; Metazoa; Chordata; Amphibia; Anura; Pipidae. The record is from Rfam.
AUACUUACCUGGCAGGGGAGAUACCAUGAUCAUGAAGGUGGUUCUCCCAGGGCGAGGCUCAUCCAUUGCACUCCGGCUGUGCUGACCCCUGCGAUUUCCCCAAAUGCGGGAAACUCGACUGCAUAAUUUCUGGUAGUGGGGGACUGCGUUCGCGCUUUCCCCUG